This is an RNA transcript of Amphiprion ocellaris (clown anemonefish), 1657 nucleotides long. It is a transcript of the gene named cold inducible RNA binding protein a, with no coding region annotated. The transcript is spliced from 7 exons. NCBI's taxonomy places the organism in Eukaryota, Metazoa, Chordata, Actinopteri, Pomacentridae. The record is from RefSeq and is a predicted model, not a curated record.
GGUGGCGGUGUGGCCCAGCCUGGUCACAGUGUGAGCGGUCAGCAGAAGAAGAGGACCGUCGCAGCGCGGUGAAAAGCGGAUCGCUCCCUCUCUCCUUUCUCAUUCGACCUGCAGCUCCACGCAGCAGCCAUUUGAUAUCAGUCGGGGAGAAGCAAGUCGUAAGAUGUCGGACGAGGGGAAAUUGUUCAUCGGGGGCCUCAGCUUCGAGACCAACGAGGAUUCUUUGGCGGCGGCCUUCGGAAAAUACGGAACCAUCGAAAAAGUGGACGUGAUCAGAGACAAAGAGACGGGAAGAUCUCGCGGUUUCGGCUUCGUGAAAUAUGAUAAUGCUGAAGAUGCUAAAGAUGCACUGGACGCCAUGAACGGCAAGACCCUUGAUGGUCGGGCCAUUCGGGUGGAUGAAGCAGGAAAAGGUGGACGAUUCAGGGGAGGAGGAUCGCAGCAGCAAGGGGGACGAUUCGGCAGUUCCAGAGGGCGAGGUGGUCGCGGUUACUCAAGAGGUGGAUACAACGGCGGCAACAGGAGCUAUGGAGACAGAGGCUAUGACAGAGGCUUCGGAAGUGGUGGUGGAGACAGGAGCUUUGGUGGUGGUGGUGGUGGAGGAUACAGGAGUGGUGGAUACUCGGGUGGCUACAGAGAAAAUAGGUAAGGGUCAGGGCGGAUAUGACCGCGGUGGAUCCUACCGCGAUGCAUACGACAGCUAUGCUGGGCACGAGUAAACAUCUCCCUGAUUCAAGAUCAUCACUUGGCUGGCUGUAUUUCAAAGAUGCGCUCCUCAAGAAAAAUGUCCACGUGUUAUUGCUGACCUUAGUUUUGUAGUUCUGUUGUAGUAGUUCAGCAUUUAAAAAAAAAAAAAAAAUGUAGCCAUGAGUUUUGGUCAUUCCUUAACAAACCAUGUUGCAAAUUACAGGUCAAGAAUCUUACCUUGCUUAUCGGGCAUCUUAAUUCCUCAAAAAAAUCAUUUAACUAAAAGGCAUCUCUGUAAUCUGAUUAGUAAAGUCCCAAUUUGGGGUCAAACAAUGGCUCUCCACAUGGCUUUUCGUUGAACAGCCACAACCGCCGCUGUAGACUUUUUGUCCAGCACGUUAAAGUGUUUCCUGAUUUUGAUUCCUUUUUUUCUUCAGUUUUUUUAUAUUGAAGUAUCUGAUGGGGCUUGUUUUGUGUUUUUGUUACCUUAUUAUCCCUCUCAGUCUUUGCGACUGACCUACCUCCUGCCAGGUUUUAUACUGACUGAGGAAAGAGAUCCAUUUACUCUUAAACAGACUUUUUUGGGGGAUUUUAUGCUAAAUUCCUUUUUACUCUUUAAAAAAACCUUAGUUUAGCUGAGGCUCCUGUAUGUUCAAUUUCCCAAUAGAGUGAAUUCCUUUCAGACUGGUGAACUACACAUCCGAAGUGGCCGGCUGUUCAUGAAGUUGCAAAUUGCAGCAUGCUACAGUCUGUCCAAGGUAUCUUCUGUGCUCUGCUCAACAUCUGCAUUUUAAAUGUGCUGUAAAAUGGACUAAUCUUGUUUAAAGUGAUCGAAAAAUGUAACUUCGUUUCCCCAAAGUAAUAUCUCAACCGGGAACAGUUUUGUACUUUAUGUUCUUUGUAUGAUCAACAUUUUUUUUCUUUGUCAGUUUGGCUUCAUGGAGCCUAUUAAACAGACUGUGGAAAAUAA